GGAGUGAGAUUUACACGAGUGGUAGGGAUUUACGGCCCAACGCUGUACCCCUCGUCUUUAUUUUCCUACCCGAACAAACUAGGGUUUCGCGCAGGGGAGAGACUGCCGUCCUAAUCUUGAGGCAGAAGGCAUGUGCCGUAGAUGUAGAAGAGAGCUCAUGCCUAUCCCCGACCUCCUUUAUUGGUCCCAGAAUUCAUUUUAUUUCAACUAAACAGAAUGCAGAAUGAUGUUGCUUUGAGCAUAAUGAUAUUUGACGAUGAUCUGCAUGCAGCAGCAGCCUCCUUUAUUGGUCGUAGAACUCAUCUUAAUUCAACUAAACAGAACCAUGAAGAAUGAUGUUGCUUUGAGCAUAACGACAUUUGAUGAUGGUCUGCAUAAAGUACUCAAGAUGUUGUGUAGGAACAUUGGUUUUUGAAACGGACUGCGAAGUUAAAGAUGAUGAUCUUCUACAGAUAAGCAGUAUUUAGAUGAUGAGCAACAUGAGGAUAACAAUUUAAUAAAGUGGUGAAGGGAGCAGCUGUCGGGAGCAACGAACAGAGUUUGCAUUGGAACAUGCAACUGUUAUGAUGGUAUAUUGAAUUCUCCGGCUGUCGCGUGGGCUCUACCAUGUUUCAAGCUCAGAAGACUUUUAUUUUUAUUUUUCAUUUAUCGUCCAUCUUUCAUCAGUUCUUUUUAUCUUCUUCGUUUUUUUCCUCUCUUGGUGCAUUGAAACACAAUAGUGAAGGUCGAUGUGGUGCGUGGAGUAAAGGCAUUGUCAUGCUCUGUUUUUGCACUUGUAAACGAUUCAAAGAAAAAUUAUGUGAGUUGAUGAUCUUCUACA
Zingiber officinale is the source of this 820-nucleotide long non-coding RNA. RefSeq lists it as uncharacterized. Lineage: Eukaryota; Viridiplantae; Streptophyta; Magnoliopsida; Zingiberales; Zingiberaceae. The record is from RefSeq and is a predicted model, not a curated record. The transcript has 2 exons.